UGGUUCAGUGGUAGAAUCCUUGUUUACUAUACAGGAGACCUGGGUUUGGUUCCCAG
Non-coding RNA from Alligator sinensis (Chinese alligator), 56 nucleotides. Lineage: Eukaryota; Metazoa; Chordata; Crocodylia; Alligatoridae. The record is from Rfam.